GGAAGAUCUCAUAGAAAAACAAUUUUAUGGGGAAAUGUAGCAACUAUACAAAAUUUCCACGAAACAGCAGUAUACAUUUGGGAAAGACACCCAGGUCCAGCCCAGCUUUGACCACUGGCAAUUAUACAAGCUGCUGUCCAUGUCACACACCAUUGAGUUUGGCACCCGGGCAAAGAGUUAGCUGCACCUCAGGUGAGAUAAACCUUUUAAUCUACAUACAAAGUAAGAAUCUUUUUGACCACAGCUUUAUAACCUCUGGUGCUUUGGACCCACA
Molecule: long non-coding RNA, 274 nt
Filed under: Mustela putorius furo (domestic ferret)
Lineage: Eukaryota; Metazoa; Chordata; Mammalia; Carnivora; Mustelidae
Description: lncRNA (ENSMPUG00000025559.1)
Source: RNAcentral